GAUGAAGAACGUAGCGAAAUGCGAUAAGUAAUGUGAAUUGCAGAAUUCAGUGAAUCAUCGAAUCUUUGAACGCACCUUGCGCCCUUUGGCUAUUCCGAAGGGUAUGCCUGUUUGAGUAUCAUGAACACCUCAACUCUCAUGGUUUGCCAUGAUGAGCUUGGACUUUGGGGGUCUUGCCGGCCUAUGGGUCGGCUCCUCUCAAAUUAAUCAGCUUGCCAGUGUUUGGUGGCAUCACAGGUGUGAUAACUAUCUACGCUUGUGGUUUUCCAUCAGGUAACCUUCAGUGAUGGAGGUUCGCUGGGGCUCAUAAAUGUCUCUCCUCAGUGAGGACAGCUUUUUUGAACGUUUGAUCUCAAAUCAGGUAGGACUACCCGCUGAACUUAAGCAUAUCAAUAAGCGGAGGA
This 404-nucleotide unclassified non-coding RNA is filed under the name soil metagenome. Its description in RNAcentral is "partial contains 5.8S ribosomal RNA, internal transcribed spacer 2, and large subunit ribosomal RNA". The stretch from base 1 to 121 matches the Rfam family "5.8S ribosomal RNA", at positions 35 to 154 of the family's 154-position model. The record is from RNAcentral.